GGAGGAAAAGAAACUAACAAGGAUUCCCUUAGUAACUGCGAGUGAAAUGGGAAAAGCUCAAAUUUAAAAUCUGAUGGUCUUUUUGGCUGUCCGAGUUGUAAUCUAGAGAAGUGCUACCUGCGCUGGACCAUGUACAAGUCUCCUGGAAUGGAGCAUCAUAGAGGGUGAGAAUCCCGUCUUUGACAUGGACUUACCAGGGCUUUGUGGUGUGCUCUCAAAGAGUCGAGUUGUUUGGGAAUGCAGCUCAAAAUGGGUGGUAAAUGCCAUCUAAAGCUAAAUAUUGGCGAGAGACCGAUAGUGAACAAGUACCGUGAGGGAAAGAUGAAAAGAACUUUGGAAAGAGAGUUAAACAGUACGUGAAAUUGCUGAAAGGGAAACGCUUGAAGUCAGUCGCAUUGGCUGGAAAUCAACCACUGCUUUUGCUUGGUGUACUUUCUGGCUGAUGGGUCAGCAUCAAUUUUGAUCGUUGGAUAAAGGCUUUGGGAAUGUGGCAUCUUAGGAUGUGUUAUAGCCCUUGGUCACAUACAGCGGUUGAGAUUGAGGAACUCAGCACGCCGCAAGGCUCGGGUUUUACCACGUUGUGUGCUUAGGAUGCUGGCAUAAUGGCUUUAAUCGACCCGUCUUGAAACACGGACCAAGGAGUCUAACAUGCAUGCGAGUGUUUGGGUGGAAAACCCAUGCGCGCAAUGAAAGUGAAAAGUUAAGAUCCCUGUCAUGGGGAGCAUUGACGCUCGGACCAGACCUUUUGUGACGGAUCCGCGGUAGAGCAUGUAUGUUGGGACCCGAAAGAUGGUGAACUAUGCCUGAAUAGGGUGAAGCCAGAGGAAACUCUGGUGGAGGCUCGUAGCGAUUCUGACGUGCAAAUCGAUCGUCAAAUUUGGGUAUAGGGGCGAAAGACUAAUCGAACCAUCUAGUAGCUGG
This 921-nucleotide ribosomal RNA is filed under the name Mallocybe sabulosa. Its description in RNAcentral is "eukaryotic LSU rRNA". It matches the Rfam family "Eukaryotic large subunit ribosomal RNA", at positions 52 to 954 of the family's 3401-position model. The record is from RNAcentral. Lineage: Eukaryota; Fungi; Basidiomycota; Agaricomycetes; Agaricales; Inocybaceae.